This 468-nucleotide ribosomal RNA is filed under the name uncultured bacterium. RNAcentral's name for it is "partial 16S ribosomal RNA". It matches the Rfam family "Bacterial small subunit ribosomal RNA", at positions 28 to 507 of the family's 1533-position model. The record is from RNAcentral.
GACGAACGCUGGCGGCGUGCUUAACACAUGCAAGUCGAACGGGAAGGCCCUGCUUUUGUGGGGUGCUCGAGUGGCGAACGGGUGAGUAACACGUGAGUAACCUGCCCUUGACUUUGGGAUAACUUCAGGAAACUGGGGCUAAUACCGGAUAGGAGCUCCUGCUGCAUGGAGGGGGUUGGAAAGUUUCGGCGGUUGGGGAUGGACUCGCGGCUUAUCAGCUUGUUGGUGGGGUAGUGGCUUACCAAGGCUUUGACGGGUAGCCGGCCUGAGAGGGUGACCGGCCACAUUGGGACUGAGAUACGGCCCAGACUCCUACGGGAGGCAGCAGUGGGGAAUAUUGCACAAUGGGCGGAAGCCUGAUGCAGCAACGCCGCGUGCGGGAUGACGGCCUUCGGGUUGUAAACCGCUUUCGCCUGUGACGAAGCGUGAGUGACGGUAAUGGGUAAAGAAGCACCGGCUAACUACGUG